This 178-nucleotide ribosomal RNA is filed under the name uncultured bacterium. Its description in RNAcentral is "partial 16S ribosomal RNA". It matches the Rfam family "Bacterial small subunit ribosomal RNA", at positions 1309 to 1500 of the family's 1533-position model. The record is from RNAcentral.
AACCCGCCUGCAUGAAGUCGGAAUUGCUAGUAAUCGCGGAUCAGCAUGCCGCGGUGAAUACGUUCCCGGGCCUUGUACACACCGCCCGUCACACCAUGAGAGUUGAGAAUACCCGAAGCCCAUGUCAAAGUGGUCGAAGGUAGGCUUGAUGAUUGGGGUGAAGUCGUAACAAGGUAGC